AUUGAACGCUGGCGGCAGGCCUAACACAUGCAAGUCGAACGAGUGGCGGACGGGUGAGUAAUGUCUGGGAAACUGCCCGAUGGAGGGGGAUAACUACUGGAAACGGUAGCUAAUACCGCAUACCAUCGGAUGUGCCCAGAUGGGAUUAGCUAGGAGGUGGGGUAACGGCUCACCUAGGCGACGAUCCCUAGCUGGUCUGAGAGGCUGACCAGCCACACUGUAACUGGAACACGGACCAGACUCCUACGGGAGGCAGCAGUGGGGAAUAUUGCACAAUGGGCGCAAGCCUGAUGAAGCCAUGCCGCGAGGAUGAAGAAGGCCUUCGGGUGGUAAAGGACUUUCAGCGGGGAGGCGUUACUCGCAGAAGAAGCACCGGCGAACUCCGUGCCAGCAGCCGCGGUAAUAC
Molecule: ribosomal RNA, 406 nt
Filed under: uncultured bacterium
Lineage: Bacteria
Description: partial 16S ribosomal RNA
Rfam family: Bacterial small subunit ribosomal RNA
Source: RNAcentral